UGGGGAAUCUUAGACAAUGGGGGCAACCCUGAUCUAGCCAUGCCGCGUGAGUGAUGAAGGCCUUAGGGUUGUAAAGCUCUUUCAGCUGGGAAGAUAAUGACGGUACCAGCAGAAGAAGCCCCGGCUAACUCCGUGCCAGCAGCCGCGGUAAUACGGAGGGGGCUAGCGUUGUUCGGAAUUACUGGGCGUAAAGCGCACGUAGGCGGACCAGAAAGUUGGGGGUGAAAUCCCGGGGCUCAACCUCGGAACUGCCUUCAAAACUAUUGGUCUUGAGUUCGAGAGAGGUGAGUGGAAUUCCGAGUGUAGAGGUGAAAUUCGUAGAUAUUCGGAGGAACACCAGUGGCGAAGGCGGCUCACUGGCUCGAUACUGACGCUGAGGUGCGAAAGCGUGGGGAGCAAACAGG
This 404-nucleotide ribosomal RNA is filed under the name Actinomycetes bacterium. Its description in RNAcentral is "Actinobacteria bacterium partial 16S ribosomal RNA". It matches the Rfam family "Bacterial small subunit ribosomal RNA", at positions 355 to 776 of the family's 1533-position model. RNAcentral also lists the same sequence under 2 other names. The record is from RNAcentral. Lineage: Bacteria; Bacillati; Actinomycetota; Actinomycetes.